GGGGCUGUAGCUCAGUGGUGGAGCACUUGCCUAGCACGCGUGAGGCACUGGGUUCAAUCCUCAGCACCA
This 69-nucleotide transfer RNA is filed under the name Ictidomys tridecemlineatus (thirteen-lined ground squirrel). RNAcentral describes it as "Spermophilus tridecemlineatus (thirteen-lined ground squirrel) tRNA". It matches the Rfam family "tRNA". Rfam says of the family: Transfer RNA (tRNA) molecules are approximately 80 nucleotides in length. Their secondary structure includes four short double-helical elements and three loops (D, anti-codon, and T loops). The record is from Rfam by way of RNAcentral. Lineage: Eukaryota; Metazoa; Chordata; Mammalia; Rodentia; Sciuridae.